This is a long non-coding RNA of Mirounga angustirostris (Northern elephant seal), 419 nucleotides long. RefSeq lists it as uncharacterized. The transcript has 3 exons. NCBI's taxonomy places the organism in Eukaryota, Metazoa, Chordata, Mammalia, Carnivora, Phocidae. The record is from RefSeq and is a predicted model, not a curated record.
UGAAUUACAAUGGAUCGAUCGAUCUGUCUGAAGUGAUUUCAACACAUCAACAAAAGAACUCAAUCUCACAAAAGUGGUUUAUUUGCUUUUAUAAAUUUUUGUUUUGUUUUGCUUCUUCCUGCUCUUCAUUCUGAGACGACAAGACCAGCCUCAGGAAAUGUGUUCUGGAGGCUCCAUUACCUCUGGCUGAGAACCACUGCAGAACAGCCGAGGGGGCUGUGUUCACAUUCACCACAUGCUGUGACGUCACUUUAUACCCCGGGGAGAAGCGCAUGACUCCAGCUUGCCGAGCUCUGCAAAUCCUGCAGACCGAUUGCUUCAUUGAACUUUUUGUUUUGGCCUAAGAUGUGGACAUGUACCUCCAUCUGCAGACCUCUGAACUUACUGUUGACUGAAAAGCCCAACGGUCUUCUCCCCAG